GCCUCACUGACCAUUACUGACGCUGAGGUGGCGACAGCGUGGGGAGCAAACAGAAUUAGAUACCUGGUAGUCCACGCCGGUAAACGAUGAAUGUUAGCCGUUGGGAGUUUACUCUUCGGUGGCGCAGCUAACGCAUUAAACAUUCCCUUGGGGAGUACGGUCGCAAGAUUAAAACUCAAAGGAAUUGCGGGGGCCCGCACAAGCGGGGAGCAUGUGGUUUAAUUGAAGCAACGCGCAGACCCUUCCAGCCCUGACAUACCGGUCGCGGACACAGAGAUGUGUCUUUCAGUUCGGCUGGACCGGAUACAGGUGCUGCAUGGCUGGUCGUCAGCUCGUGUCGUGAGAUGUUGGGUUAAGUCCCGCAACGAGCGCAACCCUCGCCCUUAGUUGCCAGCAUUUAGUUGGGCACUCUAAGGGGACUGCCGGUGAUAAGCCGAGAGGAAGGUGGGGAUGACGUCAAGUCCUCAUGGCCCUUACGGGCUGGGCUACACACGUGCUACAAUGGUGGUGACAGUGGGCAGCGAGCACGCGAGUGUGAGCUAAUCUCCAAAAGCCAUCUCAGUUCGGAUUGCACUCUGCAACUCGAGUGCAUGAAGUGGAAUCGCUAGUAAUCGCGCUCA
This 620-nucleotide ribosomal RNA is filed under the name Ochrobactrum sp. LC481. Its description in RNAcentral is "bacterial SSU rRNA". It matches the Rfam family "Bacterial small subunit ribosomal RNA", at positions 724 to 1350 of the family's 1533-position model. The record is from RNAcentral. Lineage: Bacteria; Pseudomonadati; Pseudomonadota; Alphaproteobacteria; Hyphomicrobiales; Brucellaceae.